GUGCUCCCCCGCCAAUUCCUUUAAGUUUGCUGUUCGAUGGGGGUUGGGGAGUGGAGUGUUUCCUUUUCAAGUUUUUCCCUCAUCGGAUUUCAGCCUUGCGGCCGUACUCCCCAGGCGGUGGACUUAACGGCUUCCCUCCAGCACUAGGGCAGCUCGGGGCCGGCGUAACACUUAGUCCACAUCGUUUACAGCCAGGACUACCCGGGUAUCUAAUCCGGUUCGCUCCCCUGGCUUUCAUCCCUCACCGUCCAGCGCGUUCUGGCAAGCCGCCUUCGCCACUGGUGGUCUUCAACGGAUCAGCGGAUUUUACCCCUACCCAUUGAGUACCGCUUGCCUCUCCCGCCUCCUAGCGCUGUAGUAUCCCCCGCAGCCCAACUGUUAAGCAGGUGGAUUUAACGGAAGACUUGCAGUACCGGCUACGGAUGCUUUAAGCCCAAUAAUCGUCCCGACCACUCCGGUUGCCGGUAUUACCGUGGCGGAUGGAACCGGUCUUGCCCAGCUCUUAUUCGUACACCUCCUUACGGUGAACAAAAGCGAGGACUGUAUGCCCUCGCACUUGGGGUUCCCUUAUCGCACUGUCGUGCAUUGUAAAGUUUUCACCCCUGCUGCACCCCUUA
RNAcentral lists this ribosomal RNA (617 nucleotides) under uncultured crenarchaeote. RNAcentral describes it as "partial 16S ribosomal RNA". The record is from RNAcentral. Lineage: Archaea; Thermoproteati; Thermoproteota.